This 669-nucleotide unclassified non-coding RNA is filed under the name Hevea brasiliensis (rubber tree). Lineage: Eukaryota; Viridiplantae; Streptophyta; Magnoliopsida; Malpighiales; Euphorbiaceae. The record is from RNAcentral.
UUUUGAAGGACCUCAUCAAACAGUUUCUAUAUUAACCAUAAUAGUAAAAACUUAAACAAAAGUUCCCAUGUUUCCUGAGACAUUUGUAUAAUGCAUUGAAUUUAUGUUGAUGCUGCUCGCCAUAAUAUUAUUCCAGCAGGCUCUCCAAAUAGAUAAUUUAGUACAUAAUGGAGUUCUCUACCAUAGAGCAUUUAACCUUAUAUGCUCAAAAAUGAGAGGGGAAAAAGAGGACCUUUGAAGACAAAAUUGAACCACUACAAUGUGCUCCAUUGAAAAUAACUGGAAAUAAAUACAGCAAAAGCCAGUGAAAAAAACUUGAUUGCAUCAUUUGGCUGCAAGUGAAAGUACCAAAAAAUGAAAACAAAAAAAAUGGUCUAUCCAAAGUCGAAAUACAAUUGGCCUUCAAGAUUGCCGUUUUAUAGACACUGACAUAUUUCAGCAAUAUAAACUCUAUAGCACUGUUAUCAAAGGCGCGCCUCAGGCGCAAGGCGCACCCCCAGGGGCCUCGGGGCAGCUGAGGCGCAAGACCUCACUGAGGCGCACCGAGGCGCACCGAGGCGCGAGGCGUACCGAGGCGCCCCCCAAUGAGGCAAGGCACAUUAUAAAAUGGUGGGCUGCUAGGGUUUUUUUUUUUUUAACUUGUCCAGCAGCCAACAGCCAGCAAAAAGA